AGAACUGAUCAGUGGUUGCCAGAGGUGAAGGAUGGUGACGGGAAGGGGACAGAUGUGGAUAAAGGAGUGGCAUGAAGGAGAUCUUUGUAGUGACGAAAUGAAGCAAGUCACAGUCCUGGCAGAUUGAUGGGGGGACGACGAGACCCCAGCUCUGGAGCGGAGAAUGAAGAGUGUAGGUCUCCCCUACCCAGCACGGGGCUGUGGACCUGAGCAGAGAGCAGCUAGACAUGGGUGGAGGCCCAGCAUCGUGGCAUCCCCCUGGGACACCACAAAGGCAACCCAGAAGUGCCAACCCACAGCCCGCUGACCAGGCCUGAGUGAGAAGAGCAGAGCCCUGAGGCAGCCUCUCCCUGCUCAGCUCCCCCAGCCCAGCACCCACCUCAGGCACGCUGACUGCCAGCAGCAGAGAGGACAGUCACCUUGGAGUGACAGCAUGCUUUGUGCUUUCCAGCUUCUCUCCUUCCCCUGCACCAUGGCCUGUGAAGUGGAGCUCCCUGUGAGCCCAGUAGACCCGUGGGGAACUGCUACCCAGCAGUAACCUCUGAACUUCUUUUGAGUGGUGAGCUUCCCGUCCUGGGAAGAGUUCAAGCAGAAACUGAAGGAGAUCCCAGCCCAAAUGAAACAGGAGGUCGUGUGGUCCCCAGUCCUCUGAUCUCCCACCUGCUGCUGUUUCUCCAAGUCCUGCUUGCACCCACCUAGGCUGUAUGAGCACCCCACCACUCCCCAGCCUUCCUGGCCUCACCAACAGCAAAUACCUCCAUGUCUGCCACAGGAUAGUCCAGCAGCGUGGCCAGCUCUUUUCCCAGCCUUUUUUCUCCCUACCACUGAGUUCAUCAGCCAAACCAGAAUACUCCCUGGACCCGCACAGUGCACACAUUCGCACCCCCAUGCUUUGCGCAGCUGUUCCCUCUGCGGAGGAGGCUCUUUGCCUCGAGGGCACUCCUCUCCACUUUCUCAGCGGCUCCUUCGAGAUCCAGUUCACUUGCCGUCUUCCCUGGGAAGCCCUCCCAAAUUCUCUGAUUUUUCUUUACCACUGCACCUCUGUUCUGAAACUAACUUCAACCUUGCGAGGUUUGCUCGCAUAGUAACUAAUGUGCCCUACCUCACGCUAGUCUAAAAGUCUUUGAAGGUGCAGGAUCAGGUGUGAGUCAUCUUACUAAUAUUUGGCAUAGCACAUGUAUGUUGAAUGAAUUAGUGAAUCGAGACCCUAAAUUGCUGUUCACCACUACCUAGGAGAAGGCUUGUCACAAAAAUGCUCAAUAAAUAUUUGUGGAGUGAAUGAACUGUGUUUGUUACUUUAGACCU
Capra hircus (goat) is the source of this 1305-nucleotide long non-coding RNA. RefSeq lists it as uncharacterized. The record is from RefSeq and is a predicted model, not a curated record. NCBI's taxonomy places the organism in Eukaryota, Metazoa, Chordata, Mammalia, Artiodactyla, Bovidae. The transcript is spliced from 3 exons.